ACUUGAUUUUAGAUCUCACUUUCUGGCCCUUCUUUCUCACCCCCCAUCAAAGAUGUGCCUCAACUAUAUAUGCUUCAGAACUAGCAAAAACACCAAAAAAAAGUGUUUCAUUCAGUUUGAAGAAUGAUCCUGAGAUUACGAUAAACGUUCCUCAAAGUAGCAAGGGCCAUUCUGCUUCAGACAAGGUUCAGCCGAAGAACAAUGACAAAAGUGAAUUUCUGUCAACAGCACCUCGUAGUCUAAGAAAAAGAUUAAUAGUUCCAAGGUCUCAUUCUGACAGUGAAAGCGAAUAUUCUGCUUCCAACUCAGAGGAUGAUGAAGGGGUUGCACAGGAACAUGAAGAGGACACUAAUGCAGUCAUAUUCAGCCAAAAGAUUCAAGCUCAGAAUAGAGUAGUUUCAGCUCCUGUUUGCAAAGAAACACCUUCUAAGAGAAUGAAAAGAGAUAAAACAAGUGACUUAGUAGAAGAAUAUUUUGAAGCCCACAGCAGUUCAAAAGUUUUAACCUCUGAUAGAACACUGCAGAAGCUAAAGAGAGCUAAACUGGAUCAG
Molecule: small RNA, 551 nt
Filed under: Pongo abelii (Sumatran orangutan)
Lineage: Eukaryota; Metazoa; Chordata; Mammalia; Primates; Hominidae
Description: processed transcript
Source: RNAcentral